Molecule: long non-coding RNA, 1460 nt
Organism: Ictalurus punctatus (channel catfish)
Lineage: Eukaryota; Metazoa; Chordata; Actinopteri; Siluriformes; Ictaluridae
Source: Ensembl
ACGAGCUCCUGUGAUGUUACAGUAGAUAUACAGAUAUCGGACAGUCUAAAGGACUAAAUUUACCUCCUCGAAACUGUAUAGUCAGCGUUGCAGAUCUGACAAGCUAAUACGUCUAUAUCUCGAUUAAUCUACAUCAAAUUUUUGUAUAUACGGUAUGAUCCAUUUAAUAAAGAAUCAUUUUUAAAAAGUGUUUACUGUGGAUGCUACGAGCGGCCAUGUUGAUUUAACGUUACUCGCUAAACUCAGGGCUGAGGAAACCAGUAGGAAUUCCUAGCCGAGGGAGUGUUUUCCUAACCCGAGUUCGGAAAUUUACGAGUUACCGCUUUAGUCGAACGCAGCAGAUAUCCCACUAUGGCAUUGUGGGUAAUGUAGGAACCCGGUAACCGAAUAUUCAGCUAAAUAAACCCUGGACACCAUUCGAGAUUUUUUCUUGCGCAAUAGUGUUUUUUUUAUUCGCCCGCACGUACAAAACUCACCUGGCUAGAGUGGAUUUCCCGGAACCUGGGACUCCUCUCAUCAAAAUCAACACCAAAGACGGACCUUCGCUACGCUCGUGUUGGUUCACGUCCUGAUAAUUCUGCUCCUCAUACCGCCACAGUUUGAACACUUCAUACGGAGCGGGGCUGUGAGACGAAGCGAGUCUGACGUCGGGACCGAGCCAGAAGUACUGGUGUGUUUGAGGCUGCGAGUACAGCGGGGGCGUGGGAUUUGGUGGAUAGAAGUAGAAGUUCGGUGAAGGAAGAUGCCACUGAUUUGGAUAUCUGUGUGAGUUUGACCAAUCGCAGGUCACGUCAUAAGACUGAGGUCUCCAUUGUGGCGUGUUCCUGUAGUCUGUCCGUGGCCGUGUGGCUGGAAAAGACCUGUAUCUCUGGUCACUCCCCUUAUCUUUUACGGCUGGAGUGCAGAACUGAGACGCUCGCUCACUACUCCCAUCUACAGCGUCUCGCUGGUCGAUUUGCUCGAGCUCUUUAUAAAACUCACUCAGCUCGUCCUCGAUCGCAGACUGCGGUCGACACGUCGGACCGAUGAAAGCGGCGCUGCUGGUGCCGAUCUCUUUAAUGACCUCAUCUCUGUUCCUCGCCUGACUGCACGCUCGCUCGUCAUCUCCAGAGGUUUUCUCCUCACCUUUAUUAAGCCGCUCCGACCCGUGAUUCACCUCCACCACCUCCGGCCGUUCCAACACGCCUUCCCGCUGUUCAGGAAGUCCGGGAACAGGAGCGGACUCUGGAAAUGUCCGGCUGUAGCUCAGCGUUUCGGCUCGGUCGAGCUGCUGUGGAUCUUCGACACUUCCACUCACAGGUGGAGGAGAAGAUCCAGGUGGAGUCACAUUAGGCAUCUGGAAAGAAUCGGAACAUUUCCUGAGACAUGCCUGAGACAAACAUGACAUCGGGUUCCACUCCUGUCAGACAAGAACAGAAAUCUGAUUCUACAGCGGGCUUAGAAUCCAAUCUUACCGAAUC